UGAGCAACCUGCCCUUAGCUUUGGGAUAACCCUCGGAAACGGGGGCUAAUACCGAAUGUUCACUGCCGGGCGCAUGUUUGGUGGUGGAAAGUUUUUCGGCUGGGGAUGGGCUCGCGGCCUAUCAGCUUGUUGGUGGGGUGAUGGCCUACCAAGGCGACGACGGGUAGCCGGCCUGAGAGGGCGACCGGCCACACUGGGACUGAGACACGGCCCAGACUCCGUACGGGAGGCA
RNAcentral lists this ribosomal RNA (232 nucleotides) under uncultured bacterium. Its description in RNAcentral is "partial 16S ribosomal RNA". It matches the Rfam family "Bacterial small subunit ribosomal RNA", at positions 118 to 350 of the family's 1533-position model. The record is from RNAcentral.